Molecule: ribosomal RNA, 253 nt
Filed under: uncultured bacterium
Lineage: Bacteria
Description: partial 16S ribosomal RNA
Rfam family: Bacterial small subunit ribosomal RNA
Source: RNAcentral
UACGGAGGAUCCAAGCGUUAUCCGGAAUCAUUGGGUUUAAAGGGUCCGUAGGCGGCCUAGUAAGUCAGUGGUGAAAUCUCCCCGCUCAACGGGGAAACUGCCAUUGAUACUGCUGGGCUUGAAUUAUUGGGAAGUAACUAGAAUAUGUAGUGUAGCGGUGAAAUGCUUAGAGAUUACAUGGAAUACCGAUUGCGAAGGCAGGUUACUACCAAUUGAUCGACGCUGAUGGACGAAAGCGUGGGUAGCGAACAGG